RNAcentral lists this ribosomal RNA (466 nucleotides) under uncultured bacterium. RNAcentral's name for it is "partial 16S ribosomal RNA". It matches the Rfam family "Bacterial small subunit ribosomal RNA", at positions 28 to 507 of the family's 1533-position model. The record is from RNAcentral.
GAUGAACGCUGGCGGCGUGCUUAACACAUGCAAGUCGAACGGAAAGGCCCAAGCUUGCUUGGGUGCUCGAGUGGCGAACGGGUGAGUAACACGUGGGUGAUCUGCCCUGCACUUUGGGAUAAGCCUGGGAAACUGGGUCUAAUACCGGAUAGGACCAUCGUUUAGUGUCGGUGGUGGAAAGUUUUUCGGCGUGGGAUGAGCUCGCGGCCUAUCAGCUUGUUGGUGGGGUAAUGGCCUACCAAGGCGUCGACGGGUAGCCGGCCUGAGAGGGUGUACGGCCACAUUGGGACUGAGAUACGGCCCAGACUCCUACGGGAGGCAGCAGUGGGGAAUAUUGCACAAUGGGCGCAAGCCUGAUGCAGCGACGCCGCGUGGGGGAUGACGGCCUUCGGGUUGUAAACGCCUUUCGCCAAGGACGAAGCGUUUUGUGACGGUACUUGGAGAAUAAGCACCGGCUAACUACGUG